UAUUUUUCAAAAGUUGUUUCUCACUCUGUUAUAUUUUCUUAUGCAUUUUUUUCUCUGCAUUUCCUUUGCAUUUUUUUUGCUCUCUUUUUUCUCACUGCAGAGCCACACAUUUAGAUUUAAAUUGCUAUAUUAUUCUCUCCCUAUUUUAAAAUUACAAACAUAAAAUAACAAGCUUUUGCCUCCAAUAGUGGUAUCAGGGCAGUAUUCUUUGAAGGUCUUGAGUU
Molecule: long non-coding RNA, 224 nt
Filed under: Carica papaya (papaya)
Lineage: Eukaryota; Viridiplantae; Streptophyta; Magnoliopsida; Brassicales; Caricaceae
Description: long non-coding RNA (CPAP_LNC002369)
Source: RNAcentral